RNAcentral lists this ribosomal RNA (447 nucleotides) under uncultured bacterium. RNAcentral's name for it is "bacterial SSU rRNA". It matches the Rfam family "Bacterial small subunit ribosomal RNA", at positions 355 to 825 of the family's 1533-position model. The record is from RNAcentral.
UGGGGAAUAUUGGACAAUGGGCGCAAGCCUGAUCCAGCCAUGCCGCGUGAGUGACGAAGGUCUUCGGAUUGUAAAGCUCUUUUGGCGGGGACGAUAAUGACGGUACCCGCAGAAUAAGCCCCGGCUAACUUCGUGCCAGCAGCCGCGGUAAUACGAAGGGGGCUAGCGUUGUUCGGAAUCACUGGGCGUAAAGCGCACGUAGGCGGACUUAUAAGUCAGGGGUGAAAUCCCGGGGCUCAACCUCGGAACUGCCUCUGAUACUGUGAGUCUCGAGACCGGAAGAGGUGAGUGGAAUUCCUAGUGUAGAGGUGAAAUUCGUAGAUAUUAGGAAGAACACCAGUGGCGAAGGCGGCUCACUGGUCCGGUUCUGACGCUGAGGUGCGAAAGCGUGGGGAGCAAACAGGAUUAGAUACCCACGUAGUCCCUGAGCGGGCUGGCAAGGCGCAU